GCUGGCAGAGCAGGGGACCAAGACAUUUGUAAGACCAACAUUAUCAUGCUUGAUAACAUGAACAUGCAUGUGUCAUCUGUUAAAGUUGCAGUAUUUGAGUUUGGCUGUAAAAUAAUAAUUUUAGGGCAUUGUUGUCGAAUAUUUUGUUUUUGUGUUUUCAGCUAAAACAACAAAAGCGCCCGUUACUGAGGGAAUAGUGGCAAAGACGCACCCUUGUGUCUCUGGCAACUCAUCCAACCAGACUGUGUCUUCAGGUCCAGAUCCAAAACUGAAUUUCAUGUCACUCUUGGUCACUGGAGUCAGGAUUGUGUUUUCUAAAGCAGUGGCACUAAAUGUCAUCCUGACAGUCAAAGUACUGUGGAUGUAGAGUACAUGUCUUGGCUGUCUGAAGGCCUAUGGAAAAAACUUCAUUUGAUUGAUUUGCAAACUUUCUAGCCCUUCACAUGUCACUAUGUUUGACAUCUUUUUGUCUAUACUGCCUCUCUCCUCUGUUUAUGCUUAGCUUGUGGCAUUUAGGUAUUCACAUAUUAGCCACUAACACUGCACAUCCCCAAGUAUCUAUAUAAGUGACUUAUAAGACAGGUCUUCUUUUGUUGGUUGAGUACUCACAAAUUUCUUAUCUGAUGCCAAUAAGGCCUCAUUUCAAACUUCAUAUUAUCACACCUAGUAGGCCUGUGUCACUGGUAGAGUCCCUUGUACCGAUAGUAGCCUAAUUAUGCAUGUAUUAAUGGCUUACCUUUGAACCCUAUUCUAAGUGUUACCGACAUUAGUGUGUAUGUGCAUUGACAAUAUUUUCAUUUUUACAUUGUAGUCUCCUCAGAGUUUUUGCUGUAUUUCACAUUAGGCAACCUAACUCCUACUGUAUGGGCCAAAUUAGCUUUCACAUAUUUCACAUUAUGCUGUCUAUGAUUUAUCAUUAUUAAUACAUUUAGAAUCUUGCUUGCAUUUUUCACAAUUUUAGAUGAA
This is a long non-coding RNA of Engraulis encrasicolus (European anchovy), 966 nucleotides long. RefSeq lists it as uncharacterized. Lineage: Eukaryota; Metazoa; Chordata; Actinopteri; Clupeiformes; Engraulidae. The transcript has 3 exons. The record is from RefSeq and is a predicted model, not a curated record.